UUUUAAUAUUUUAUGAUGUAUUUAAAAGGGUAGUUAUUGUUGCAAACUCCAUUAGAAAUUUGAAUUGAUAUCAGUUUUGGAAAAAGGAAAACGGGGAUGUGAAAAAAAGGGGGGGGGGGUUAAAUUUUUUCUCAUUUCAGAUUUCAUAAAUAAAAAGAAAAUUUCUUCAAACAUUUUUUUGAGAGGAUUAAUAUUCAACAGCAUAGUGAAUUGCUCAAAGGCAAAAAAAAACUUUUAAGUUCAUUAGACCACAUUCGUUCUGUGUCAGAAACCUAUGCUGUGUCAUGAUCAACUAUUUAAUUUGAGUUUUAAAAAGUUUGAAGAAGAAAUCUUUAAUUGAUUUGUAAAAUCUUGACAUUUGUUUUGUGUAAAAAAAAACCAUGUAAUGUCAAAAAUUUGAUCACAAUCCAAAUUUAGAGCUGUAUCACGCUUGAAUGUUUUGUCCAUACUUGCCCCAACAGGGUUCGACCUCUGCGGUCGUAUAAAGCUGCGCCCUGCGGAGCACCUGGUUAAGUUUUGAAUCAAGGAGAGAGAUCAUGUUAAAAGUAAUGAAAUUUGUUAUGUAUGUCUUUUAUAAUUGUUAGAAAGUUUUAUCUUUAUGUCGAAGGUUAAUUUAUUAGUACCAGUAUCAUUGGAGAUUUUCUUAUACAACAAGCAAUAAGAAGUAUGCCAUAUCAUGUGUCAUCUGUUGAUUUCAUUUCAUCAACAAGCUAAAAAAAGAAGUUUGAAACACACAAUGAAUAAAGACUAUGAUUAUUAGUUAAUAUCUUAUGUUUAUGCCUUAUUAU
Molecule: long non-coding RNA, 788 nt
Filed under: Mytilus galloprovincialis (Mediterranean mussel)
Lineage: Eukaryota; Metazoa; Mollusca; Bivalvia; Mytilida; Mytilidae
Source: RNAcentral